UACGAAGGGUGCAAGCGUUACUCGGAAUUACUGGGCGUAAAGCGUGCGUAGGCGGUUUGUUAAGUCCGUUGUGAAAGCCCUGGGCUCAACCUGGGAAUUGCAGUGGAUACUGGCGAGCUAGAGUGCGGUAGAGGAUGGUGGAAUUCCCGGUGUAGCGGUGAAAUGCGUAGAGAUCGGGAGGAACACCAAUGGCGAAGGCAGCUCGCUGGGACGGUACUGACGCUGAG
This 227-nucleotide ribosomal RNA is filed under the name uncultured bacterium. RNAcentral's name for it is "partial 16S ribosomal RNA". It matches the Rfam family "Bacterial small subunit ribosomal RNA", at positions 524 to 750 of the family's 1533-position model. The record is from RNAcentral.